UUAAGUGGUUGGUAUCCUAUGAUAGUCGAGAUCACGGAUACUACUGAGCCUCCUUAGCAGUGGAAUCAUGAAUUUACACCAUGUGGUUAUUCGCUUACUUUCAGCUAGGAAAGCAAGAAACGCUUUGGGCAUGAGGGUCUGAAAAAGAAAAAAGAGCUGAGACAAAGAGGAGUUUUUCAAAAUUCCUCAUAAUUCAAAAUGCAUAGCCCUCAAAUUAGGGAUGAACUUUAGAAGGUUCAAAAAAGUUGCCCUUCUGAUAACAAAAAAAGCACUACUGAAGAAUCCACUGCAGAAGAAAGGGCGCUCCCUAGGUACUGCAUAUCAGGACUGUGUUUAUAUAGUUCAGCAGAAAAGGAACUGGAGCAGAUACUGGCUUUUAGGAAGAAUUCCACAUAAAAGAGGGGGAAUUGUUCUCUUUUAGGUCUAAGAUGAAAUAGAUGAUCAUAACUGCUCUGCUUGGAGAUGCAUUUCAUGGCACAAUGUAUACGUGACCUAUACAAGGUCACGUCAUGGGAAGAGAACGGACAUGAGAGAUAAGUAGAAUCCAAGCUUUUAGUCUUGGACAACUUCAGGGUAACCUAUUUAGGCUUGCUUUAUUUCAUGCAAUACGGCAAGAAAAGUUUCUUUUUAAACAGUAAGUACGUCGUAGAUAUAAAGUCUGUAUAGGGCUCUCUCAGUGGUUUGAACAAUGUCAAUUACAAAUAUAUGAAGAAUUACUGCCCAAAUCACUGAUCAUUAAGGGUUAUUUUAUUUUAUUAUUUUAUUUUUUGGUCACAUUUUGAGCCUUGGUACAGUGGCAAGCCAGC
Molecule: long non-coding RNA, 806 nt
Organism: Lutra lutra (Eurasian river otter)
Lineage: Eukaryota; Metazoa; Chordata; Mammalia; Carnivora; Mustelidae
Exons: 3
Source: RefSeq, a predicted model, not a curated record